RNAcentral lists this ribosomal RNA (253 nucleotides) under uncultured bacterium. RNAcentral describes it as "partial 16S ribosomal RNA". It matches the Rfam family "Bacterial small subunit ribosomal RNA", at positions 524 to 776 of the family's 1533-position model. The record is from RNAcentral.
UACGAAGGGGGCUAGCGUUGCUCGGAAUCACUGGGCGUAAAGCGCACGUAGGCGGCUUUUUAAGUCAGGGGUGAAAUCCUGGAGCUCAACUCCAGAACUGCCUUUGAUACUGAGAAGCUUGAGUCCGGGAGAGGUGAGUGGAACUGCGAGUGUAGAGGUGAAAUGCGCAGAUAUCAGGAGGAACACCAAUGGCGAAGGCAGCUCGCUGGGACGGUACUGACGCUGAGACGCGAAAGCGUGGGGAGCAAACAGG